GAUGAACGCUAGCGGCAGGCCUAAUACAUGCAAGUCGAGGGAGAAUGUUGGAUUCGUCUGACAUGAAACCGGCGCACGGGUGCGUAACACGUAUGCAACCUACCUUUAACUGGGGUAUAGCUCAGAGAAAUCUGAAUUAAUACCCCAUAAGACUACGACAUGGCAUCAGGAUGUAGUUAAAGCUCCGGCGGUUAAGGAUGGGCAUGCGGUACAUUAGCUAGUUGGUGAGGUAAUGGCUCACCAAGGCUACGACGUAUAGGGGGUCUGAGAGGAUGAUCCCCCACACUGGUACUGAGACACGGACCAGACUCCUACGGGAGGCAGCAGUAGGGAAUAUUGGUCAAUGGACGCAAGUCUGAACCAGCCAUGCCGCGUGAAGGGUGAAGGCCCUAUGGGUCGUAAACUUCUUUUAUUAGGGAAGAAAAAACGGGAUGCGUCCUGUACUGACGGUACUUAAUGAAUAAGGAUCGGCUAACUUCGUGCCAGCAGCCGCCGUAA
Molecule: ribosomal RNA, 498 nt
Filed under: uncultured bacterium
Lineage: Bacteria
Description: partial 16S ribosomal RNA
Rfam family: Bacterial small subunit ribosomal RNA
Source: RNAcentral